UCAGGACACCGGUCCUUUGGAACGAAACGUGUGCGGUGCCAAAUCCCUCCCUGCCCUCUCGCUGCCUCUGUGCUGUUUGUGGCGGCGAGCACCCAGGAGGACCCACUCUGGAAAGCAAACGCAACUUCCAGCACAAAUCCCUCUUUACGCAGGGGAACUGGAGGCCAGGUCUUGGCCCUUUUCACGAACUUCUCUUAAACUCAUCCCUGUUGACCAUCGCAAUACUUGCGGUGAACUUUGCCCCACCCUCCAGACGCCCACUCACGUACAGGCAAGCCCAACUUUUAUUACACACGCUGGCUGGCAAUAACUAAUAUUUGCCUUGUCUCCAAGCUCACAAAGUGAGCCAUGUGUAUCGUAUCCUGGUAUCCCACAGGCCGUGCAGCGGCGGCGUUAUGCGUUUAUCCAGCUAGUGGCCAUGUUGGGCUUGGUGGCAUGGAUCUAGCAGGUGGGAAUGUUGACCGGCAACUAUCCCAGCAGAGCUCAUGGGCUUCCUCCUUAUGAGGACACCCAGACUGAGACACAUUCCCUGGCACACACCUCCCCCCCAUCCCAGGCUCUUGGACCAAGUGUCCAAACAGGUGUGUCGGCUUCUUUUCCCAGAUUCCCCACAGUGGUGUGUCAAAUCCAGUGCAGCCAGGCAGUGGGGGAGACUGGCAAACACUUAUGAACGAGGAUAAAGGACACAGGGUCCAGCAGAGUACUUGUACACUCAGCACACACAGAAAACAUUCUUCUACGGUUCUGGGGGCUCCCGAGGUUUCAAGGAGAGAAAAUGUGUUUUUCAUCCAUGUGUCAAGAGAUGUCACUUUGGAUCAAUGCUGUUGGCCAGCCUCCUGAAAAGGCAAGUCUCAGACUUUUCUCAUGGGAGGACCCUGGCCAGAAACAACUCUGUAUCUGCUGCCCUCAGGGGGCAGUGGGAGUUUUUGGGGGGGGAGGAGGGUCCACUUCAGAUGAGAGAGAUGAAGCAAACUUGUAUUUGCGGUGAAGACCUCAGCACACAACCAACAUGGGAGAAACUGCCACAAAGGGCACCCCCACCCCAGCUCCGGGAAGUCUCUCUCCUGGCCACAUUCAGCGUGACUAGGGUGUGGGCAACACAACAGAAGCUACCACACAGUUAUAGUAGGAAUCUAUAACUUUGGGGACUAGUCAGCACUCUUGAAACGCCUCUAAGCACCACCCGAAUUCUCUUUGGAGCCUGAGUAAGUAUUCAAGAGCACAGGGACCUUAGGUCACAGCUUCUGUCUUUUGGCUGAUGCCAUUGCAGUUCCCUUUUCACAUUUUCUGACCUGGAAGAUGCCCCGAGAGGCAGUGAUUUCUGUGCUUGAAUUACAGUAAGGCAACUGAAGCAUAGAGGACCCAGCUGUGAGGUCACACGGACCAGGUGCAGAGCCCAGGAGGCAAGGCCGGUCUGGAGACCCCACAGCCAGCUGCCCUGCUCAGCCACUAUUAUGAGCAGCAACUUGCCAGGAUGAAGCUCCUCCCUGAGUCUGGGGUCCAGCCAGAGUCUGUUUACCCUGCAGCUUAGGUAAGCCCUUUUCCAGGAACCACCUAAAGCCUCUCGGGGGUCACUGGCUUGCCCUUUGCUGAUCUGCGGAGCCUCCUAUCCAUUUGAAAUUUGUACUUCCGGGCUGUCAUCAGCCAGGACAAUGGCCUCUGAGCCCCUGGAAGCAUGCUCUCAGGUCAGGUGGUCAAAGUCCACUGGGGCUAGGGACAUGGGCUGAGAAAGCUCAGUGAUAGCAAGUAGGGAGAUGCUCAGUGGACAGAGGCUAGAGCUCGGUGAGGGCCAACUAUGGGCAUGAACUUGGCCGCCACCCUGGUGCUGACAGCAAAACUUCCUGAGCCUAGGUAACAAAGUACUGUCACAGUAAAACACAGAAGUCUCAACAGUCCAGCAAGCAGCUGUGUUUACCCUCAUUUUAUAGAUGAGGAAACUAAGGGCCAACACUUGGCCCAGAUCUCGAAGAGGGAGUGAGACCCCUCUCAGAGUCCAGGUCUAUGCUGCCAUUAGGACUUGCCCCUGGGCACCCCCGGGCUCAGCUGUCUGGCGCAAAAGCUGUGAACCGGCCUGAUGCCUCAGUCUCUCUGGCAGGCCCUGGGGCCAGUCCUAACCCAACCACUCCAGGCGGGUGGCAACAGCAUGUGCAGAAGCCUGUUGGCAGAGAAGGGGCCUACAUUCAAGGGGAGACAGUGUAGGAAUGGCACAAGAUGGACAGAGUGGGCGUGGCCCUAGCCAGGCAUAGCUCGUGGCCCUGUGGGGAGCCUAGUUUUUGUCCUAAGGACUAGCUAUGGAGUGACUCUAUCAAACUAGUAACAACUGAUAAGUAAGGAGAGUUAACUGAUGGCUGUCACUGGGUGGGGCGGGGGGAGGCUAUGCACUCUAGGUCUGCAGGAUCUGCUGCUGUCAUAGACACUCUGCCCCUUUGAUAAUUAACCAGUCACUGGGCAAAGUUUACAGACAGGCUUUCCUACAGGCUCCAGUUCAACGUGGUCAGAUGUCAAGUCUCUGUAGUUUGGGUGAAGGCCAAGGCGGCCAACCCACCAGCCGCACCCUCCCCUGUCCUCCUGGGAGACAGAUGCCCUCCUUGUUGGCACAUACUACUCCAUCCUUGGAUGGCUUAGGCUCCAGGGCUGGGACAUGGUGACUUUCAUCCAGUCCAGAGCAUGGACUUGGAACCUCAGGACCCAUGUGACCUGCGUGGGAGUCUCCCUGCAGAGCGGGAUACGGGGACGGAGUUGGUUCAUGAAAGACAUUCUGCUUGCCUCAAGCAGAUGACGCCUCCUCCUCCUGCAUGCAGUGGAGUGGCAAUGCCUGCCUUCCCAUGGCCUGCCCUGAGAGGCCCAUGGGUCAGUGGACAGGGCCCGAAUGGUGGGGUCAUAUUUGGGACGUGGUGACCACUGGCCAGAGGGCUCUUCCAAGGGUCGCCUCCUCCAAGAAGCCUUAUUGGUGACCUUCCCCCUGCCAAAGCUGCCCUCUGCACUGUACUGCAGUGACCUCCCAGACUGCGUGUAGCUGUUGUCUAAAGCAGCACUGUUUGUGCGAGGCCUCUGUCCCUGUCCUGUCAUCAUGCAAAACAGCUGGAACGGAGCCAUCCCACCUCAGACGUGGCCCUGAGCCUGUGGUCUGCUCUUCACAUGCUGUCCUCCCCAACCCUGUUAUCUGCCUAUCACCAAAGAGUCCUGCCAGUCAGUCAAGGAAAUUUGAACUUGGGCCUCAAGAGCCCAAGAGAACGCCCCCAAGAGCCUGUUAUCUGCCUAUCACCAAAGAGUCCUGCCAGUCAGUCAAGGAAAUUUGAACUUGGGCCUCAAGAGCCCAAGAGAACGCCCCCAAGAACCUGUUAUCUGCCUAUCACCAAAGAGUCCUACCAGUCAGUCAAGGAAAUUUGAACUUGGGCCUCAAGAGCCCAAGAGAACGCCCCCAAGAGCCUCCAGAGGGCCGGGCCAGCCUCACUUAGCAAUAGUAUGGCUGAGCAUUGGAGGUGGGCUAAGUCAGCACCCGGGGCCUUGGUUUUCACUAAAUUAAGGAACUGGACUGUGGUCCUUGGUCCCCUGGAGGGACAGGCUUUGUCUGACAAAGUUUUCUUGGUCUGUAGCAAGUGCAAAAACUGACAUGGUAGAAAAUUGACAAUAAAAUUUCAUUUAGUCGA
This is a long non-coding RNA of Otolemur garnettii (small-eared galago), 3650 nucleotides long. RefSeq lists it as uncharacterized. Lineage: Eukaryota; Metazoa; Chordata; Mammalia; Primates; Galagidae. The transcript is spliced from 2 exons. The record is from RefSeq and is a predicted model, not a curated record.